GCUGGCGGCAUGCCUUACACAUGCAAGUCGAACGGCAGCACGGGUGCUUGCACCUGGUGGCGAGUGGCGAACGGGUGAGUAAUAUAUCGGAACGUACCUUAUCGUGGGGGAUAACGCAGCGAAAGCUGCGCUAAUACCGCAUACGCCCUGAGGGGGAAAGCGGGGGACCGUAAGGCCUCGCGCGAUUAGAGCGGCCGAUAUCUGAUUAGCUUGUUGGUGGGGUAAAAAGCCCACCAAGGCGACGAUCAGUAGCUGGUCUGAGAGGACGAUCAGCCACACUGGGACUGAGACACGGCCCAGACUCCUACGGGAGGCAGCAGUGGGGAAUUUUGGACAAUGGGGGCAACCCUGAUCCAGCAAUGCCGCGUGAGUGAAGAAGGCCUUCGGGUUGUAAAGCUCUUUUGUCAGGGAAGAAACAGCAGCUCUAACACAGUCUGCGAAUGACGGUACCUGAAGAAUAAGCACCGGCUAACUACGUG
RNAcentral lists this ribosomal RNA (479 nucleotides) under uncultured bacterium. RNAcentral describes it as "bacterial SSU rRNA". It matches the Rfam family "Bacterial small subunit ribosomal RNA", at positions 35 to 507 of the family's 1533-position model. The record is from RNAcentral.